ACGUCAGGGUGGCGGCGGCCGUGGUUGGCGCACCGUCCGCGGCUGCAAAGUGUGAAUUACGCCGGGCUCGCGCCGGCGGCGGAGUGAAGUCAGGCUCCGGGGGAGGGGAGGGGCAGGACGGUGGCGGCGGCCCGAGCUGGUGGCUGGUCCCAAGCCCCGUGCGACCUGGGUCUCGCCGCUGGCUCCAGCCGUCUUUUCUUGCACCGCUUUCUUCUGUCUUUGCUCCACUCCUGCUCUGCUCUGCCCGGACCUGUUCCUCCCGGCCGAGGAGAUCUGGGGCGGCAGGGUUCCCUCUCCCACUUUGCCUGCGCUGCCCCCGCUUGCACCCCGGAGCCGGGCGCGCGCCGGUCCUCGUAACUGUCGCCGCGGCCGCCGCAGCGUCUUCCCACCGGCGGCCCGGGCGGAGUGUUGGGGUGGGAAGGCGUGAGCGCGGCUUCCCGGGGUCGGCGCCCGCCCUCCCUGCCCCCGCCUCGGCCCGGCGCCCCCGAGCCGCGGCCCCUUCCCAGCACAGGGGCCGGCGGCCGCGGCUGGGCGGGCGCCGCGCGGGGGCAGGGCGGGCGUAUUCAAUGGAAGUAUGUUACCAGCUGCCGGUGCUGCCCCUGGACAGGCCGGUCCCCCAGCACGUCCUCAGCCGCCGAGGAGCCAUCAGCUUCAGCUCCAGCUCCGCGCUCUUCGGCUGCCCCAAUCCCCGUCAACUCUCACAGAGGCGUGGAGCGAUUUCCUAUGACAGUUCUGAUCAGACUGCAUUGUACAUUCGUAUGCUAGGAGAUGUACGUGUAAGGAGUCGAGCAGGAUUUGAAUCAGAAAGAAGAGGUUCUCAUCCAUAUAUUGAUUUUCGUAUUUUUCAUGCUCAAUCUGAAAUUGAAGUUUCUGUGUCUGCAAGAAAUAUCAGGAGGUUACUAAGUUUCCAGCGGUAUCUUAGAUCUUCUCGCUUUUUUCGCGGUACUACUGUUUCAAAUUCUCUAAACAUUUUAGAUGAUGAUUAUAAUGGACAAGCCAAGUGUAUGCUGGAAAAAGUUGGAAAUUGGAAUUUUGAUAUCUUUCUAUUUGAUAGACUAACAAAUGGAAAUAGUCUAGUAAGUUUAACCUUUCAUUUAUUUAGUCUUCAUGGAUUAAUUGAGUACUUCCAUUUAGAUAUGAUGAAACUUCGUAGAUUUUUAGUUAUGAUUCAAGAAGAUUACCACAGUCAGAACCCUUACCACAAUGCGGUCCAUGCUGCAGAUGUUACUCAGGCCAUGCACUGUUACUUAAAAGAACCUAAGCUUGCCAGUUCUGUAACCCCUUGGGAUGUCUUGCUGAGCUUAAUUGCAGCUGCCACUCAUGAUCUGGAUCAUCCAGGUGUUAACCAACCUUUCCUUAUUAAAACUAACCAUUACUUGGCAACUUUAUACAAGAAUACCUCAGUACUGGAAAAUCACCACUGGAGAUCUGCAGUGGGAUUAUUGAGAGAAUCUGGCUUAUUCUCACAUAUGCCAUCAGAAAGCAGGCAACAAAUGGAGACUCAGAUAGGUGCUUUGAUACUAGCUACAGACAUCAGUCGCCAAAAUGAGUAUCUGUCAUUGUUUCGGUCCCAUUUGGACAGAGGUGAUUUACACCUUGAAGAUGCCAGGCAUAGGCAUUUGGUUUUACAGAUGGCUUUGAAAUGUGCUGAUAUUUGUAACCCAUGUCGGACCUGGGAAUUAAGCAAGCAGUGGAGUGAAAAAGUAACAGAGGAAUUCUUCCAUCAAGGAGACAUAGAAAAGAAGUAUCAUUUGGGUGUGAGUCCACUUUGUGAUCGUCAGACUGAAUCUAUUGCCAACAUCCAGAUUGGUUUCAUGACUUAUCUCGCGGAGCCUUUAUUCACAGAAUGGGCCAGGUUUUCCAAUACCAGGCUAUCCCAGACAAUGCUCGGACAUAUGGGGCUGAAUAAAGCCAGUUGGAGGGGGUUGCAGAGAGAACAGUCCACCAGUGAGGACACUGAUGCUGCGUUCGAGGAGUUGAACUCACAGCUAUUACCUCAGGAAAAUCGGUUAUCAUAGCCCCCAGAAUCGUCGGAACAGACUGCCUCCUGCAGGUUUUUAGAAAUGUGAAAUGGGGUCUUGAGGUGAGAGGACUUUCUUGACUGCCAAGGUUUCCGAGGGAAUGAGGCCAGCGUUAUUUAUUCCCAAGGUGUCCUCUACUGGAUCGUGCGACCCCACUUUUUAAUUAUAAGACCUGAACAUACAGCAAUAUGCACUUGGCUUUCGUGUGAAACCUUGAAUAUGCAAAGCCCAGCAGGAGCGGAUCCGAAAGGAGUAAUGAAGGAAGUUUUGCAACGUGCCACCAGUUUUUCAAAGCAUUUACUCCUCGAACCGUGAAACUUGAACUGUAUCUUUCAGCAGAAAUCUCUUGGAAUUUAACCAGUCUGACGCAACAUUGUGUAUCUGUACCUUCCACUAAGUUCUCUCUGAGAAAAAGGAAAUGUGAAGUGCCCAGCCUCUGCUGCCUCCUGCAAGACUCGAUGUUUACAAAUCAACUCUGAAAUAUUGGUUCUAAAUUGCCUUGGAGCAUGAUUGUGAAGGAACCACUAAGAAUUUUAAAGAUCAAACUUAAACUGCAGCUCUUUCCCCCUGGUUUGCCUUUUUCUUCUUUGGAUGCCACCAAAGCCUCCCUUUUGCUAUAGUUUUAUUUUGCGCACUGGAAACUGAGCAUUUAUCAUAGAGUACCGCCAAGCUUUCCCUCCAGUGCUGUUUGGCAAUGCAAUUUUUUUUAACUGUUAGUUUCUGAUUUGGGGCGGGAGGGGAAGAACACCAGUGUCCUAGCUGUAUUAUGAUUCUGCAGUGAAGACAUUGCAUGUUGUUUUCACUACUGUACUCUUGACCUGCACAUGCAAGAAACAGGUGGAAUGUUUAAAACACCAUAAACAGCUCAGGGUAUUUGCCAAUCUGAAAUAAAGUGGGAUGGGGAAGUGUGUCCUUCAGAGCAAGGGUACUAAAGUCCCUUUCGCUGCAGUGCGUGAGAGGCAAAUCUUCUGGGGAAGUCCAUUUAUGAUCAGCCGGUUACUUGGUGAGCGUGGAUUCUGAGCAAGGGAAGCAAGUUGCCUCAUGCAUCCAUCUCCCUAUGGGGACUCACCUGCUGAUUUUCAUGUUUGUGGACCAGGGUACGCUCUUCCCCCGGAUGAUUGUAGAGAUUCUCUGCCAGUAGUUGCCUCUCCACAUCAGCUUCUGAUGGGCACAUCCAGUAAAUCUGUCAGUACCUUCAGCCUUUGUCUCAGUUGAACCUGCCUGGGUUCCAUCUGCCGGUGUACGAUUGCUUACUUCUGCUCUGAUCCAUUUCUUAUUGUUUGAUAGUCAAAGGAUUAUCUUAUUUCCUUUCUUGGGGGAGACACCUCAAUGUUGCUCCCAUCUCCUGCCUAUACGUAGAAUAAACCCACUGACAGAUUAUGUUUUGUUACAUAUAUGUGGAAGUCAUCAUCUAUAGCCCUGCUCCUUAAAUAUAACCUAUAUUCCUUGAACAUUGGUUUUCUAGAAAAAUUUGAGGAAACAGUUCAGAAAUUUAGAAGAUUACAUUUCAAAUAAGUAAAUGUUAUGGAACAGAAAAAUACACAUGAACUUUUAAAACAGGAGACUUCAAAGAAUUGUCGAGCAUGUCGCAGCCCUGUGGGGCUCUACCCAACACUUCAGUAGUAGGGGGGCAUCUCCUCUGCUCUGGAGGUAAAGGUCCUUGGAGAGAAAACUUUGGCAAGCCUUAGCUUAAUGAAAAACCAAUCUGGUACCUGGCCAAUAUUUCUAUUAUGUAAAUGUGAUGGUUUAUAAUGAUCCUCUUUGUAUAAAAGAAGCAAAUAUUUUAUGUCCUUUGCAAACCUGGAAAAUAUAUUUGUACCUGAGGUACAGGUUAGAGGUGCUAGUAAUUCUUUGAAGAUUCCUACAACGGUUUCUUUUCCAAAAUGCUUUCUUGGCUCUUAAAACUUUGAGUUUUCUUAAAACUCUAACUUUCACAUCAGGGGUUUACAGUGUUUUCAUGUGUACUUUUUUUAAUGUAUAAAUAUUUUGUUUAAAUCCUCUCCUGAUCAGUGUCUCCUGCUUGAGAAAAUAAACAGUGACCGACAGCUA
RNA transcript from Herpailurus yagouaroundi (jaguarundi), 4070 nucleotides. It is a transcript of the gene named phosphodiesterase 7A, with no coding region annotated. NCBI's taxonomy places the organism in Eukaryota, Metazoa, Chordata, Mammalia, Carnivora, Felidae. The record is from RefSeq and is a predicted model, not a curated record. The transcript has 14 exons.